UCCCUGGUGGUCCAGUGGCUAAGACUCUGCACCCCCAAUGCAGGGGGCCAGGUUCCAUUCCCGGUCAGGGAG
This 72-nucleotide transfer RNA is filed under the name Ovis aries (sheep). It matches the Rfam family "tRNA". Rfam says of the family: Transfer RNA (tRNA) molecules are approximately 80 nucleotides in length. Their secondary structure includes four short double-helical elements and three loops (D, anti-codon, and T loops). Lineage: Eukaryota; Metazoa; Chordata; Mammalia; Artiodactyla; Bovidae. The record is from Rfam by way of RNAcentral.